RNAcentral lists this ribosomal RNA (274 nucleotides) under uncultured Bifidobacteriales bacterium. RNAcentral's name for it is "partial 16S ribosomal RNA". It matches the Rfam family "Bacterial small subunit ribosomal RNA", at positions 504 to 777 of the family's 1533-position model. Lineage: Bacteria; Bacillati; Actinomycetota; Actinomycetes; Bifidobacteriales. The record is from RNAcentral.
UGUGCCAGCCGCCGCGGUAACACGUAGGGCGCAAGCGUUAUCCGGAUUUAUUGGGCGUAAAGGGCUCGUAGGCGGCUCAUCGCGUCCGGUGUGAAAGUCCAUCGCUUAACGGUGGAUCUGCGCCGGGUACGGGCGGGCUGGAGUGCGGUAGGGGAGACUGGAAUUCCCGGUGUAACGGUGGAAUGUGUAGAUAUCGGGAAGAACACCGAUGGCGAAGGCAGGUCUCUGGGCCGUCACUGACGCUGAGGAGCGAAAGCGUGGGGAGCGAACAGGA